UUCGGGCCCCUAGAGCGGCGGACGGGUGAGUAACACGUGGACAAUCUGCCCCCCGGUCCGGGAUAGCCCAGGGAAACCUGGAUUAAUACCGGAUGAGACGGGACCCGCGGAGGCGGGAUCCGGGAAAGGCGCUGCGGCGCCGCCGGGGGAUGAGUCUGCGUCCCAUUAGCUAGACGGCGGGGUAACGGCCCACCGUGGCGACGAUGGGUAGCCGGCCUGAGAGGGUGGACGGCCACAUUGGAACUGAGACACGGUCCAGACUCCUACGGGAGGCAGCAGCUAAGAAUCUUCCGCAAUGGGCGAAAGCCUGACGGAGCGACGCCGCGUGAACGAAGAAGGCCGUGAGGUUGUAAAGUUCUUUUCGGGAGGGGGAACAACCGUGGCAGGGAAUGGCCGCGGGAUGACGUGAAUCCCGGAAUAAGCCCCGGCUAACUACGUGCCAGCAGCCGCGGUAACACGUAGGGGGCGAGCGUUGUUCGGAAUCAUUGGGCGUAAAGGGCGUGCAGGCGGUCCUGCAAGUCC
This 522-nucleotide ribosomal RNA is filed under the name uncultured Spirochaeta sp. Its description in RNAcentral is "bacterial SSU rRNA". It matches the Rfam family "Bacterial small subunit ribosomal RNA", at positions 81 to 590 of the family's 1533-position model. The record is from RNAcentral. Lineage: Bacteria; Pseudomonadati; Spirochaetota; Spirochaetia; Spirochaetales; Spirochaetaceae.